GACGAACGCUGGCGGCGUGCUUAACACAUGCAAGUCGAACGGAAAGGCCCUGCUUUUGUGGGGUGCUCGAGUGGCGAACGGGUGAGUAACACGUGAGUAACCUGCCCUUGACUUUGGGAUAACUUCAGGAAACUGGGUCUAAUACCGGAUAGGAUCUCCUGCUGCUUGGUGGGGGUUGGAAAGUUUCGGCGGUUGGGGAUGGACUGGCGGCUUAUCAGCUUGUUGGUGGGGUAGUGGCUUACCAAGGCUUUGACGGGUAGCAGGCCUGAGAGGGUGACCGGCCCCAUUGGGACUGAGAUACGGCACAGCCUCCUACGGGAGGCAGCAGUGGGGAAUAUUGCACAAUGGGAGGAAGCCUGAUGCAGCAACGCCGCGUGCGGGAUGACGGCAUUCGGGUUGUAAACCGCUUUCGCCUGUGACGAAGCGUGAGUGACGGUAAUGGGUAAAGAAGCACCGGCUAACUACGUG
RNAcentral lists this ribosomal RNA (468 nucleotides) under uncultured bacterium. RNAcentral describes it as "partial 16S ribosomal RNA". It matches the Rfam family "Bacterial small subunit ribosomal RNA", at positions 28 to 507 of the family's 1533-position model. The record is from RNAcentral.